GGGAGCAAUCCUGGCGGCGAGUGGCGAACGGGUGAGUAAUACAUCGGAACGUGCCCAAUCGUGGGGGAUAACGCAGCGAAAGCUGUGCUAAUACCGCAUACGAUCUACGGAUGAAAGCAGGGGAUCGCAAGACCUUGCGCGAAUGGAGCGGCCGAUGGCAGAUUAGGUAGUUGGUGAGGUAAAGGCUCACCAAGCCUUCGAUCUGUAGCUGGUCUGAGAGGACGACCAGCCACACUGGGACUGAGACACGGCCCAGACUCCUACGGGAGGCAGCAGUGGGGAAUUUUGGACAAUGGGCGCAAGCCUGAUCCAGCCAUGCCGCGUGCAGGAUGAAGGCCUUCGGGUUGUAAACUGCUUUUGUACGGAACGAAACGGCCUUUUCUAAUAAAGAGGGCUAAUGACGGUACCGUAAGAAUAAGCACCGGCUAACUACGUGCCAGCAGCCGCGGUAAUACGUAGGGUGCAAGCGUUAAUCGGAAUUACUGGGCGUAAAGCGUGCGCAGGCGGUAAUGUAAGACAGUUGUGAAAUCCCCGGGCUCAACCUGGGAACUGCAUCUGUGACUGCAUUGCUGGAGUACGGCAGAGGGGGAUGGAAUUCC
RNAcentral lists this ribosomal RNA (599 nucleotides) under Variovorax sp. CIR11Bs. RNAcentral's name for it is "bacterial SSU rRNA". It matches the Rfam family "Bacterial small subunit ribosomal RNA", at positions 75 to 670 of the family's 1533-position model. Lineage: Bacteria; Pseudomonadati; Pseudomonadota; Betaproteobacteria; Burkholderiales; Comamonadaceae. The record is from RNAcentral.